Non-coding RNA from Arachis ipaensis, 168 nucleotides. Lineage: Eukaryota; Viridiplantae; Streptophyta; Magnoliopsida; Fabales; Fabaceae. The record is from RefSeq and is a predicted model, not a curated record.
GCCAAAAAUUGAACCAGCCCCUGUGCUGGAAAAAACUAAUGAAGAAACUACACAAAGCACUCCAGAACCACCGCCAAAAACUGAAGAAAGCACACCCACGCUUCCACCAGCUCCAUCUAAAGUCCCCAGAAGAUGUUGAUGCACUGAUGAUGAUGGCACGGACAGCAU